Molecule: long non-coding RNA, 1291 nt
Organism: Alexandromys fortis (reed vole)
Lineage: Eukaryota; Metazoa; Chordata; Mammalia; Rodentia; Cricetidae
Exons: 2
Source: RefSeq, a predicted model, not a curated record
CCUCAUCCUCCCUUUCCGACAAGUGGAGGUCCUGAGCGCUGCCCCAGAAAGGGUGGAGGGAACGUUGUGGGUUGGAACACACACACCCGUGGGGGGCAGAAACUGGAGGACGCUACGGACAUCGCCAGCGUCCAGAGCUCUGUCCCUCCUUUCAGCUGCACCAUGUUCACCACCCUUGCGUUAGCACCCUGUGGGCCCAGAGCUGUCCCAGGGCUAAAAGACAAGGCGCUCUCGGAUGCUCGGCAGUCGCCUCUUCCUUUUUACUUUCGGGACGGGCACAGGCUCCCGCUUCCCCCAGCCGCUUUAGAUCAGGCGCCAGGGCCCUCUCGGGCAUCUCAACCCCGCCCCCAGGGUCAAAUGUGCGGCUCUCCUGGAACUCCUCUGAAAAAGGGACAAACUUUUGAGUGGACGGAAAUCUUGAGGACCCUGUCUGAAGCAGGGGUCUUAUUUCCCUUGGGUGAAGAGGCUGUCGGAUUCUGGCUCCUGAAAACCAGAACAUGGAUUGCCCCUAUCAGACAGCACCCCUGCCCUGCCAGAAUCCACAUCUGCCGAGGAAAGAAAAGUGGCCCAAUCCAGGUGACUGUGGAAAGGGCUGGACUAUCUACCCACACCCAUUUCUCUACUCCCUCCUGGCCCUGAAAAGAAGGAGAGAACCCAAUGAACUUCAGAGGAGCCCGGAUCUCGGCCUAUGAAACAGACAUGGGGAACAAAGCUUGCUGGCAAACAGCUCCUCCUCUGAGCUCCUUGCUGUUCUCAGUUUUGUGUGGUUUUCAUUGCCCCCUCCCCAGGUUUGCAGACAGGAUGGUGAAUGUUUAACCCCACCCUCCAGUCUCUCUCCCUGUGCUCCCGGCAACCUCAAAGCUGGGGGGGGGGGGGGCAGCUUCCAGCCCUGCCAACAAUCUGAGAAAAUUCAAAUUCUCUUCUAAGAAGGGCAGCCGCUUUCUUCUCUGUUCUCCCUGCGCACACUGAUCUGUUGUGAGGGCACCUGGGUCAGAAGAGAGCGAAGACUGUUUUAAUUGGUCUAGAAUUAGCAUUUCCUAACACCAAGGCCAGGAUUUCCACACCCAGGAACAAGAGGUCUUUGCCCAGACCCAUGCCUGUUCUGGGCAAUGGUGUGCACAUUUGCUAAGGUGGAGAACGAGGAGGGCAAUGAACAGUUUUGUCCAUUUUGCACCCAGUGCUUUAGCGGUCAUGCUUAAUGCUUUCUUUUGUACUCAUCUCGGGCAAAGCAUCGCCUCUACCUCAGUGUGUUGUGGACAGAUAGACAAAUAAACAAAAGGAAAAAAGGAAA